This 70-nucleotide transfer RNA is filed under the name Podarcis lilfordi (Lilford's wall lizard). RNAcentral describes it as "tRNA.Ala". It matches the Rfam family "tRNA". Rfam says of the family: Transfer RNA (tRNA) molecules are approximately 80 nucleotides in length. Their secondary structure includes four short double-helical elements and three loops (D, anti-codon, and T loops). The record is from RNAcentral. Lineage: Eukaryota; Metazoa; Chordata; Lepidosauria; Squamata; Lacertidae.
GGAUGUAGCUUAGUGGUUGAGCAUCUGCUUUGCAUGCAGAAGGUCCCAGGUUCAAUCCCCUGAAUCGCCA